UACGUAGGGGGCAAGCGUUAUCCGGAUUUACUGGGUGUAAAGGGAGCGCAGGCGGCAGAGCAAGUCAGAUGUGAAAACCCGGGGCCCAACCCCGGGCCUGCAUUUGAAACUGCUUGGCUAGAGUAUGGGAGGGGCAGGCGGAAUUCCUGGUGUAGCGGUGAAAUGCGUAGAUACCAGGAGGAACACCGGUGGCGAAGGCGGCCUGCUGGACUAUUACUGACGCUGAGGCUCGAAAGCGUGGGGAGCAAAC
RNAcentral lists this ribosomal RNA (250 nucleotides) under uncultured prokaryote. RNAcentral's name for it is "partial 16S ribosomal RNA". It matches the Rfam family "Bacterial small subunit ribosomal RNA", at positions 524 to 773 of the family's 1533-position model. The record is from RNAcentral.